GUUCUGCAGCAAGAAUAAGCUUGGUGCAACACAGGAACAGAAAAUGGACCAGUGAGGCUAGAGGGGUAUGAACAGAGGGAUGACAGUAGAAGAUGUGGACUCAGGAGAGAGAAAGGCAGUGCUAGAUCUCAUGGACCUUGAAGGCCAUGCUUCACUCGGGUCCAGCUUGGGGGUUCUGUCCUUGGAAGUGUCUAACGGGAGAAAUCAACUUCAGUACAAAGGAAGUGAAUUUAAAAUGGAGACCUAAAGGAUACUGGGUGGAUGGACAGAAGGAGAACUGAGGAUACCCCUUGGUCCUGAAGUAUCCAUCCUCCUUGACUGCUGAGAAGAGGUUAGUCUAAUUCGGAGUCUUAAGCAAGUAGAGGAAAAGUUUUCCUCCCUGACAGUUCUGACACGAGGAUGGGCUGGGACAGGUUGGGAUUCCCACUCACUCAGAAACCUGUUGCUGAGAUCUCCAGACCCCUAAC
This is a long non-coding RNA of Zalophus californianus (California sea lion), 467 nucleotides long. RefSeq lists it as uncharacterized. The record is from RefSeq and is a predicted model, not a curated record. The transcript has 4 exons. NCBI's taxonomy places the organism in Eukaryota, Metazoa, Chordata, Mammalia, Carnivora, Otariidae.